Molecule: regulatory RNA element, 85 nt
Organism: Paenibacillus sp.
Lineage: Bacteria; Bacillati; Bacillota; Bacilli; Caryophanales; Paenibacillaceae
Source: Rfam
CACAUGCUGUAACCGCUCCGAUGGGGUACAAGUUCAUAUGUUGUAUAACGUAUGACACCUACAUUAGGCGAGUCUGAGACAUGAG